UACGUAGGGGGCUAGCGUUGUCCGGAUUUAUUGGGCGUAAAGAGCGUGUAGGCGGCCAGGUAGGUCCGUUGUGAAAACUCGAGGCUCAACCUCGAGACGUCGGCGGAAACCCUCUGGCUAGAGUCCGGAAGAGGAGAGUGGAAUUCCUGGUGUAGCGGUGAAAUGCGCAGAUAUCAGGAAGAACACCCGUGGCGAAGGCGGCUCUCUAGUACGGUACUGACGCUGAGACGCGAAAGCGUGGGGAGCGAACAGG
This 253-nucleotide ribosomal RNA is filed under the name uncultured bacterium. Its description in RNAcentral is "partial 16S ribosomal RNA". It matches the Rfam family "Bacterial small subunit ribosomal RNA", at positions 524 to 776 of the family's 1533-position model. The record is from RNAcentral.